Molecule: ribosomal RNA, 253 nt
Filed under: uncultured bacterium
Lineage: Bacteria
Description: partial 16S ribosomal RNA
Rfam family: Bacterial small subunit ribosomal RNA
Source: RNAcentral
UACGUAGGGUGCAAGCGUGUCCGGAAUUAUUGGGCGUAAAGAGCUCGUAGGCGGUUUGUCGCGUCUGCUGUGAAAACCCGAGGCUCAACCUCGGGCCUGCAGUGGGUACGGGCAGACUAGAGUGGCGGUAGGGGAGAUUGGAAUUCCUGGUGUAGCGGUGGAAUGCGCAGAUAUCAGGAGGAACACCGAUGGCGAAGGCAGAUCUCUGGGCCGUAACUGACGCUGAGGAGUGAAAGCAUGGGGAGCGAACAGG